Molecule: ribosomal RNA, 465 nt
Filed under: uncultured bacterium
Lineage: Bacteria
Description: partial 16S ribosomal RNA
Rfam family: Bacterial small subunit ribosomal RNA
Source: RNAcentral
GACGAACGCUGGCGGCGUGCUUAACACAUGCAAGUCGAACGGAAAGGCCCUGCUUGCAGGGUACUCGAGUGGCGAACGGGUGAGUAACACGUGGGUGAUCUGCCCUGCACUUCGGGAUAAGCCUGGGAAACUGGGUCUAAUACCGGAUAGGAGCCAUUUUUAGUGUGAUGGUUGGAAAGUUUUUUCGGUGUAGGAUGAGCUCGCGGCCUAUCAGCUUGUUGGUGGGGUAAUGGCCUACCAAGGCGGCGACGGGUAGCCGGCCUGAGAGGGUGGACGGCCACAUUGGGACUGAGAUACGGCCCAGACUCCUACGGGAGGCAGCAGUGGGGAAUAUUGCACAAUGGGCGCAAGCCUGAUGCAGCGACGCCGCGUGGGGGAUGACGGACUUCGGGUUGUAAACUCCUUUCGCUAGGGACGAAGCUUUUUGUGACGGUACCUAGAGAAGAAGCAACGGCUAACUACGUG